CACGUAGGGGGCAAGCGUUGUCCGGAAUUAUUGGGCGUUAAAGAGCUCGUAGGCGGUUUGUUGCGUUCGGCUGUGAAAUCCCCGAGGCUCAACCUCGGGUCUGCAGUCGAUACGAGCAAACUAGAGUGUUGGCAGGGGAGACUGGAAUUCCCGGUGUAGAGGUGAAAUUCGUAGAUAUCGGGAGGAACACCAGUGGCGAAGGGCGGCUCGUCGUGGACAGUGACUGACGCUGAGACGCGAAAAGCGUGGGUAGCAAACAGGA
RNAcentral lists this ribosomal RNA (262 nucleotides) under uncultured bacterium. RNAcentral describes it as "partial 16S ribosomal RNA". It matches the Rfam family "Bacterial small subunit ribosomal RNA", at positions 524 to 777 of the family's 1533-position model. The record is from RNAcentral.